GACAGAGGCCACAAGCGUUAGGCGGAAUCACUGGGCUUAAAGCGUGUGUAGGCGGACCGUUAAGUGCUUUGUGAAAUCCCUCGGCUCAACCGGGGAAAGGCUUGGCAUACUGGCGGUCUUGAGCUGCCUAGGGGUCGCUGGAACAGACGGUGGAGCGGUGAAAUGCGUAGAUAUCGUCUGGAACGCCAAAGGUGAAGACAGGCGACUGGGGGCAUGCUGACGCUGAGACACGAAAGCCAGGGGAGCAAACGGG
RNAcentral lists this ribosomal RNA (253 nucleotides) under uncultured bacterium. Its description in RNAcentral is "partial 16S ribosomal RNA". It matches the Rfam family "Bacterial small subunit ribosomal RNA", at positions 524 to 776 of the family's 1533-position model. The record is from RNAcentral.